AUGGAGCGCUUGGGGCUGGGGUACUUCGGCCCGGGCACCCGGCUGUCGGUGCUAGGUGAGCGCGGGCCCGGGGACGCGGGGACGGACGCGGGUUUUUGCGCGGGGCUUGGGGACCGUGGCCUCGGACACGCAGCACUUCGGGCCCGGCACGCGCCUCCUGGUGCUCGAGGGCAGCGGGUGGGCUCGGUGUCAUGCCGGUCCCCGCCCCCCUCCCAGGCGCUGGAGCCCGGCCGGGACGCAGGGAGGAGGCAGCUGGGGUGCCGGGGGUUUGCGCGCGGGGCCGGGCCGCCGUGCUCCUAUGAGCUGCAUUUCGGCCCCGGCACCAGGCUCACGGUCACAGACGACCUGAGCAAGGUGACCCCCCCCAAGGUCACCGUGUUCGAACCCUCCGAAGCAGAGAUCUCCCGCACCCAGAAGGCCACCCUCGUGUGCCUGGCCACAGGCUUCUACCCCGACCACGUGGAGCUGAGCUGGUGGGUGAACGGGAAGGAGGUGGAGAGCGGGGUCAGCACGGACCCUCAGCCCUACAGGGAGCAGCCCGACCAGAGCGACUCCAGCUACUGCCUGAGCAGCCGGCUGCGGGUCUCCGCCGCCUUCUGGCGCAGCCCCCGCAACCACUUCCGCUGCCAAGUCCAGUUCUACGGGCUCGCGGAGGGGGACCCGUGGCCGGAAGGCCGGGCCAGGCCCGUCACCCAGAACAUCAGCGCCGCCGCCUGGGGCAGAGCAGACUGUGGCUUCAGCUCAGCGUCCUAUCAGCAGGGCAUCCUGUCUGCCACCCUCCUCUACGAGAUCCUGCUGGGCAAGGCCACCCUGUACGCUGUGCUGGUCAGCGCCCUGGUGCUGAUGGCCAUGGUCAAGAGAAAGGAUUCCUGACACCAGCUCCAAGAAUGCAUCCUGAGUCAUUCCCAAUCCUCAGCCUGGAUUUUUCUUCACAUGCUUCCACUCUGUGUUCGUAACAAGUUAUUCUCUCUCCCUCUCCAUUCUCCUUCCUACAUGGGUAUAUGUCCCUUCUCUCUGCUUCCCUUGAGCUCAUCGACCCUGAAUCUGAAAUAGACUAAAUCAAUAAACAUGUCAUGCUGGG
Manis pentadactyla (Chinese pangolin) is the source of this 1081-nucleotide non-coding RNA. The record is from the annotation of a RefSeq genome assembly. Lineage: Eukaryota; Metazoa; Chordata; Mammalia; Pholidota; Manidae.